UACGUAGGGGGCAAGCGUUGUCCGGAAUCAUUGGGCGUAAAGCGCGCGUAGGCGGCCCGGUAAGUCCGUUGUGAAAGUCAAAGGCUCAACCUUUGAAAGCCGAUGGAUACUGUGAGGCUAGAGUUCGGAAGAGGCGAGUGGAAUUCCUGGUGUAGCGGUGGAAUGCGCAGAUAUCAGGAGGAACACCAAUAGCGAAGGCAGCUCGCUGGGACGAUACUGACGCUAAGGCGCGAAAGCGUGGGGAGCGAACAGG
Molecule: ribosomal RNA, 253 nt
Filed under: uncultured bacterium
Lineage: Bacteria
Description: partial 16S ribosomal RNA
Rfam family: Bacterial small subunit ribosomal RNA
Source: RNAcentral